UGGGAUAUCGCCAAGCAGGUAAGGCAAUCGUUUUUGGUGCGAUUAUUCAUAGGUUCGAAUCCUUUUAUCCCAA
Molecule: transfer RNA, 73 nt
Filed under: Stephanopyxis turris
Lineage: Eukaryota; Bacillariophyta; Melosirophyceae; Stephanopyxales; Stephanopyxidaceae
Description: tRNA-Gln
Rfam family: tRNA
About the family: Transfer RNA (tRNA) molecules are approximately 80 nucleotides in length. Their secondary structure includes four short double-helical elements and three loops (D, anti-codon, and T loops). Further hydrogen bonds mediate the characteristic L-shaped molecular structure. tRNAs have two regions of fundamental functional importance: the anti-codon, which is responsible for specific mRNA codon recognition, and the 3' end, to which the tRNAs corresponding amino acid is attached (by aminoacyl-tRNA synthetases). tRNAs cope with the degeneracy of the genetic code in two manners: having more than one tRNA (with a specific anti-codon) for a particular amino acid; and 'wobble' base-pairing, i.e. permitting non-standard base-pairing at the 3rd anti-codon position.
Source: RNAcentral